UUCAGGUCCUACAUGAUAUGUCGAGUUUAAAAAGGAACAAACUUACACCAGAAUAUAGGAUAUUUAUAGGAUAUUUAUAGGAUUUAUAGGAUUUCCAGAAUUCUUGUAAUAUCCAAGAAUAUGAGAAGGAGCUGGAAAAACAAGUAGCAGAAGGAGAAUUAUUUUAUUAAAGUACACAUUUCAAACAAUUUUUCAAACUUUAAUUAAGGACUGGGAAUAGAAAGUACAAUUUCAUUAGAAGAAAAUAUAAGGAAAAAAAUAUUUAAAUUUUGAGAGAAAACAAAAGAUUUAUUUUGGAGGGUAUAAAAACUAAGGAAAACAUAUCAAUAAGUAACUACAAACCAUUGUACUCAUAACCAUAAAAUACUAAUAAAUAACUACAAACCAUUGUACUCAUAACCAUAAAAUACUACAUGUACUCUCAAAAGAGAUGACAAGAGGAUUUAUUUAUUUAUUAUCUCAUCACACCAUUUAAUCUCUGAAAUCAAAGAGUUGUAUAUUGAAAAAUAGAAUGUAAAUGGGCAAAUAAAAUAGUUAUAAUAAUUAAAAUAUUAAUUUUGAAACAUGCAUCCAUAAAAAGUUGAAAUGAUCCCAAUAGAAAAGCACCUCAAUCUCCUCUGCAAUUUGUCACCUGCUCAAAAGAUGAAUCUCAACAUUCCCUACCUAGGUGAACCAAAAGAAUUCUGAAGGAGAGCCAUCAACACAGUGUACCUCUGCUCUCACAUCUUUGAUUUCAGGUCCCAGGGCCCCUCGGCUUUGCUGACACAUGAGUCUCCUUUAUGUCUUUGCCUCCUUAGCCAAUAUGGAUCCUUCUAUUGGUUCUGGUACUAAUAUCUCUGCCUAGAAGUCUGGGACUGAGUCUCCUUUCAAUUGUGUCACUGGGCUCAAUAUGACAGUUUUAUUAGCCAGGAACUACAAGAAUCUCAGGAGUGCAAGCCAGACCUUUGCUUUGCAAGUUAACAGCUUCCCAUCCCUCAGGUUUGAUAAUAUAUGCUGGCUUUCUGAGGAAUAAGAAUGGAUUAUCAGUACCUGUUGUUUCUAUCUCCAUUUGAAAUUUGGUUCUAAAGGCCAACUGGUGUCUUAUACAAGCUUUAUGUGUAAUUAGUACUCAGCAAAUAC
Canis lupus familiaris (dog) is the source of this 1119-nucleotide long non-coding RNA. RefSeq lists it as uncharacterized. Lineage: Eukaryota; Metazoa; Chordata; Mammalia; Carnivora; Canidae. The transcript is spliced from 3 exons. The record is from RefSeq and is a predicted model, not a curated record.